AUAUUUUGAAUUAAGUAUAUUCAUAAUAUGUUAUCAGACGAAUGUUGUUAAAGAUAUAGGUUGAUAUUUGUGAAGGGAAAGAGUUGCCUCUUUCCCAACAAACAUUGCACACAAGGUGGAUAUGGAUUUUUAAAGAGUGCCAUAAAACACUCGUUUGUGAAUGAUCCUUCCGCAGGUUCACCUACGGAAA
Molecule: unclassified non-coding RNA, 190 nt
Filed under: uncultured fungus
Lineage: Eukaryota; Fungi
Description: sequence contains ITS1
Source: RNAcentral